GUGGGGAAUCUUGCGCAAUGGGCGAAAGCCUGACGCAGCCAUGCCGCGUGAAUGAUGAAGGUCUUAGGAUUGUAAAAUUCUUUCACCGGGGACGAUAAUGACGGUACCCGGAGAAGAAGCUCCGGCUAACUUCGUGCCAGCAGCCGCGGUAAUACGAAGGGGGCUAGCGUUGCUCGGAAUUACUGGGCGUAAAGGGAGCGUAGGCGGAUAGUUUAGUCAGAGGUGAAAGCCCAGGGCUCAACCUUGGAAUUGCCUUUGAUACUGGCUAUCUUGAGUAUGGAAGAGGUAUGUGGAACUCCGAGUGUAGAGGUGAAAUUCGUAGAUAUUCGGAAGAACACCAGUGGCGAAGGCGACAUACUGGUCCAUUACUGACGCUGAGGCUCGAAAGCGUGGGGAGCAAACAGGAUUAGAUACCCUGGUAGUCC
Molecule: ribosomal RNA, 425 nt
Filed under: uncultured bacterium
Lineage: Bacteria
Description: partial 16S ribosomal RNA
Rfam family: Bacterial small subunit ribosomal RNA
Source: RNAcentral